RNAcentral lists this ribosomal RNA (139 nucleotides) under uncultured bacterium. RNAcentral's name for it is "partial 16S ribosomal RNA". It matches the Rfam family "Bacterial small subunit ribosomal RNA", at positions 355 to 509 of the family's 1533-position model. The record is from RNAcentral.
UGGGGAAUAUUGCACAAUGGGCGCAAGCCUGAUGCAGCAACGCCGCGUGAGCGAGGAAGGCCUUCGGGUCGUAAAGCUCUGUCCUAGGGGAAGAAGAAGUGACGGUACCCAAGGAGGAAGCCCCGGCUAACUACGUGCC